CAAGUGUAAGCCCGCCGCCUCUGCCCUUUGUAACGGGCAAGAUGUAGUACUUACUGCCAGCUCGGAGCUGCUUACCGGCGAUGUCCAGCACCGGAUCAGGUGAAGCAUUGCCCCUGACGGGCAAUGGCGUUGCAAUGAAGGCAAAGAGAAGAAUCAGCGAGGGUAAGACUACUUCUCAUUGUUAUAUUGUUAUAUUUUUUGUUCUUAUCUUUUGUUGUUGCGUGUAAAUAACCCUUAUGAGGCCAAAUUUAUAGAGUUAGGCUAGUAUAGUUAAUUGACGGACAGCAAGUUGGUUUGAUUCGCCUAAUGUCCGAUUCCAGAAGCCAAUGGUCGCCCAUAAGACAAGAGCGGAUUAUCACAUUCUGCUUUGUGUACUGUAAUUAUUAUUUUUUUUUUCCCGCCUAAACAGCCUGAUAAGAAGAUUUAAUACAAAUUCAACAAUAGAAAGCGUAGUCUAGUAAGAAAGUCAAAGAUUUAAUUUAGAGUUAGAAGUCAAUACCCUUAUCUUUUCUCUUACACUAAAUUUAACGGAAUUUAGAUCUGAUUCCUGUGUCUUUGUUGAUGGUUUCGUCAUUUUAUUUAAAUUGCAUUGUAUAUAUGUUUAAUUUUAAAGAAUUUUUUUUUUUUUUUGGUGCUGAAGUUAGUCUCGUCAAGCUAGGAGUUUAUCGAAAAAUUAAUGUAGCAAAGAUAUGAUAAAGCAUAUGUUUAGGGAGGCACAACUUGGGCCCUCUCCUUGAAUAUAAAAAUUGCACCAAGAUUUUGAAAACAAGAAAUGAUGUAAAGAGACAUAUAGAUGAUGAUAUCAAAACAUAUUACUAGCAGAUCUAUUUGCUAAGUUAUAUGGAGAUGUCUGUUAGUAUUAAAAUAUGUGAAAUUAUCAGUUAUAUACUCUAAGUUUGUCUUGUUAUAAAAAAUAUUAAGUAAUUUUAAAUUUGUUUGGUUUUUCACUCUAAGUUUGUAAAUUAUAACCGUAUACAAACUCAAGGUGGAAAAUGAAAUAAAUUCAAACUUUUGUUGUCGAUUUUUUUAUAACAUGGUGAACUUAGGGUAUAUGGCUUAUAAUUUUUUUAAAUUUUAUUUUAUUAUUUACAGUGAAAAGUCAAAAAUACCCUUGAAUUUAAGGGUAAAAUGAUCUUCUCACUUAGAUUCUGUUGAAUGUACAAUAGUGUUAACAUUUGGGUGGGGGAUAAUACAAUUUACAAACUUAGGGUGAAAAAUCAAAUAAAUUCAAAUUUUUGUAUUAUUGUUUAUACCACAGUAAAGUUAGUAUAUAUAGUGAAUAAUUUCCCUUUAUUUAUUUAUGUUUAGGCCCAUUUUUUAGCCCAAAUAGACUACAAUAUUAAUGAAUUUGUCUUCAAAAGGAAUUGGAGUAGGGAUGGCGAAUUGAUCCAUCCAAGUUGGAUAUCGAUAUAUCCAAUCUAAUUGGAUUAGAUAAUAUCUAUCUGAUACAUUUUAGAUAUGGAUAUGGAAUUUUUUUUUUUAAAUAUCCAAUUAGAUAUUGGAUGGAUAUAAAUAUUAGAUGGCAAUCCAUUUAUUUGAUUGGUUUGAAAAAUAAUAUUUUAUAAAACUAAAACAAAGUGAAAAAUUAUAUUUUGCAUAAUAUUCAUUUACCCGAAUGUCAUAUCCCUUUUAUAUUUUUAAUUUAACAAAUCCUAAAUUAUCUCUUUUUACUUCACACGUCGGCUACUGGUUGCUCACGAGCCAUUGAUCACACCGGUUGUUGCUUGUUCACGGGACAUUGAUAUUAGUUUUUUCACGACUUUGCUAUCUCCUCUCAGCAUUACGGCUUCUUCUUUUUCUUAUUUAACAUAUCUUUCUUUUUAUCUUUCUCUCAGUGCAUUAAUAACUACAUGUGUUAGCUUUUAUUUUAUGUCUGUGUUUUGAUAUCAAUUGAUGGUCCAAAUGUUGCGUGAACUGUGGAAGUUGUCUUCUUUGCUUGAGUUAAAUGAACCAUUUGAAACAUAUUGGUAAUUUGUUGUUCGCGUGUUAAUUUAUGGAUAAUUCGACAUAAUUCACAUGUAGAAAUUAAUUUUGAAAUUUAUGGGCUAAAUAAAUUUUAUGGACUAAAAGUUCCUUCCAAACACCUGCCUUUUUCUUGUAAACUAAAACUUACUGGGUAAAAAUUGUUAUUGUUUCAAUUGCUUUGUUUGUGAGUGUAUAAUUUGAUGAAUAUUGGAUUUGAAAUAUUUUGUAAACGUCACUUUUGGUCAAUAUUUGUGAGUGCAAGAUUUGAUGUCCCAUGCUAACACAUGUAGUCGAAUUUAAUUUAGUAUGGGGGGUCGAUUUUUAACCCCACAUUGUAGUAGACUUUAUCCUAGUGCGUUAGAGACCUUAAUGUGUGCUCAUAUAUAUGGGCUCAAAUAAAAAGUAUCAAACUCAUCUGAGUUCCACAUUUUAUUUAAAUUUGAUAACAUUUGUUUACAUUUUAUUUCAAAACAGCUUUAAUUUUUUUUAACAAAAAAAAGAAAGAUGAAAUUCCUAAAGAUAAGCUGAUAACAGAGAAGAAAUAAAUAGAGAAGUGACUAAUAAUGAUGAUAAAUAUGAGAUAUAGCCAUGUUUUCAAUAGUGCUUAUUUUUUCUUUUUGUGUGUACGCGCUUGAUGCUCAUUAUGAUGCUAUCAUGGUCAUACAUAAUACAAAUUAUUUACUUAUUUAAUGCUUUAAUUGUAUUAAUUUGCAGAUUUAUGAUGAUGGUCAAAUUGGAGAUUGAAAGUUUAAUUGUAAGUCAUUACAAACAAGGCUUAUUAGAAGAAUAAUUUUUUUUUGGUUUUUUAGUUUGAAAUUAAUUUGUAAUUUUAGAUGAUAGUUUCUUUUUUGUGAAUUUGUAGUUAUGAUAUUUGUUAUUUGGAUGUUUAUUAUUUCUAAUUUAAUAUUAAAAUCUGAUAUUGGUUUAACUAUUUUAUAUUUUUAUUUUUAUUUCAUAUUUUUUGUUGUCUUUUUAUAUGAAAAAAAUUAAAUAUACGUGGAUAUCCAUAUCCAUAUCCAGUUUUAAAAAUUAGAUAUUAAUACGGACAUAUCCAUCAUAACUAAUUAUGAAUUUACACUUGAAUGGAUACUUGCCAUCCAUAGAUUGGAGUAGCUUGAUCAAAUGGCAUUCGACGAACUGGAUAUUGGUAGGAUGGUGUGUGUGUGUGUGUAUGUGUGUGCGUGCACAUGUGUGUGUGUGUGUGUGUGUGUGUGUUCACAAUCAGCAAGAAAAUGCUUUAUUACAUGCUUAACAAAAGUGCUUGACGUGUUUGAUAUCGCAAAAACAACAUCACCAUCCAUUAAUAACACUCCUCUUACAUUUUACAACGCCGUCUUUUCGAGAAGGCAAAAUGGGUUGAUUGGUUGAAUUUGUGUCAAAUCCUAAAUAACUUGUUGCUAAGUUUUGGAAUUUAUAUUCAAUCUAUUUAUUAAAUGAAUCAUAACAUAAAUUAUUUUUUGGUUUGAUUCCUUUAUCUUUAAGUAACAAAUGAAUCGAAUCGAAUUUUGAUUGGUUUAAUUUGUUCAUCAAUAAUCAUACUAUUUAUUUUUUUCUUUUUCAUCAGUUAAUUAUGAAACUAGUGUUACCGCUAAUACUUUUUGUAUUAAAUUUAAAAUUAUAAAUUUGACUAAGAAUCUUAAUUAACAAAUAUAAAUUUUUGAAUAUGAAUUCCUUGGGAAGCAAAGAAUCAAUGUUUUUAGUGGAUUUUGGGUUAAACCACAAAUGGGUAAAAUCACAUCAGAAACAAUGAAUUUGUUUUGAGGGGUUUGGGGUACCUCAUUGAGUUGUGGUGUGUAGGCUGAUUUGGGCUUACGAAAGAGCUAAAGAAGAGGAAAUUUCGGAUGGCAGCAGCGAGGGGGUCUAGACGAGAAUUGGAAAUCUUGAAGAAACGCCUCCCAAUCUGCAAAAUAAGGAAAUGAGGUUAGAGGUGGAGCCAGCGGUGGUCGGCAACCACACUCCGGCUCAAGUUAGCUACUUGGGCUUUUUAAGUGAUGAGAGCUUGCAAGCCCUCUGUAAAAGUGGUAGCUGGAGGUUGGAGAAGACCUCAGCCCCUUGGUUUUGUGUGUGUGUGUGUUGGUGAUAAAUUUAGAAAGUAUGAGUGUAUGAGGUCAUUAGAGAGAGAUUAAACCUUUUUGGCCUUUAUAUAGCACAACAUGAGUACCUUACCAUGUGGCACGCCUUUAUUGGAGAUUUUUAUGGUCCUUGCUGAGAUUUUUCAUGUCCUUUUAUUAUUAUUGUGGUUUUCUAGUCGUUUGGAAUAUGCUUGGAGAGCAAGAAGGCGGUUUUAGACAGGUGCAGUCGUUUGGUGCACGUGGCGUACACUGCAGGUGGUCCAAGGUUCUUUUUGCAAAAGUUGUCUACAUAAUGACAAUUAUGGCAACCAAAUAACCACUGUCCUUUUGGGGCUGCUUCUGAUUUUAAUUAAUUUUCACAGCUAGUUGUCUCCCUUUUUUUGACAAAUCAUAUUUGAUUUGAUGGAAUCAAAUCAAAUAUUCUUUUUGGGCGCACAUGAUGGCCGUUUUUGGGUACUUUCGUCAGAUCUUUGAUUUUGCUAAGGCGUGCCCCGCAUAUUAGUCUUCCUAAAGGGUGUUCUUGGUGCAGGUCAGGUACUUUAAGAGGUCUACUUUCAGCAAUUAAAGUUCCUUUAUCGACACGUGGCGCUUGGUUUUAAAUUUCUUUAUUUAUUCCCCCAAACAAUCAGAAUUUUAUUUGAAAAUAAAAUGCCAAACUCCGAAAUAAUCCACUCUCCUAUAUCAAUCAUCCUUGGUGCCCGUAUUUUUUUCUACGACUAGCUGAACUUUUGACAUAAAUAUUUCUUAUUUUACCAUUUACUCACCGAGUAUGAUAUAAUAAUAAAUAAUCACUCACCAUCAAUGAUUUGCAGAUGAAGAAGAUAGAGCAAAUGGAACACAUGAAAUACAUUUGGUGCAAAAAUGUGGUCUCUAAUCAGGAAAAGGAUCAACCAAAAUACCAACAGGAAGAAAAGCUUUUAUUGUUCGUAAACAUGCAACAUCAAUGCAACUUUUAUUAUUGCGACUUUAUUCAUUUAUUAAAGCGUGCGUACAACUUUAAAACGAAACAAACUUUAAUGCAACUUAUAUAAUUUAUUUUAAUCUCAAUUUAUAUGAUUUACUUAAUUUAUAAUAAAUAUAAAAAAAAAUGUAUUCGAAAAUAAAAUAAAGUAAUAUUAUUAAAUAACGGUGUCUAGUGAUUAUUACUUAUUAUAAAAAUAGUAAGGAAAUAAAUCAUAUAAAUUAUUAAAUAAUAUAUAUAUUCAUUUCAGUAGGGACAAAACUAACUAUCACUUUUUUUUCUAGAAAAUGUUAUCAGUAUAUCAUCUACGUAUGGUUUACCCAUUACAGUCCCAUGGUUGGCUUCUUUAAUUUUACAUAUUUUAUGCUAUAAUCAAGUCAAGUUCAUAGAUUCUUAUGGCUCUCGUCAAAUCAAAAUCCUGUGUUACAAGAACUUAAUGCAUAAUUUUUUCUUACUGGAAUUGAAUUAUCACACAAGAACUUAAUGCAUAAUUUUUUCUUACUGGAAUUGAAUUAUCACAAUGGUUUAAUCUCCUUCGUAAUUUAAAAUGAAAAUGUUGACACCAAUCAGGAAAAUGAUGAACCAAAAUACCCACAUGAAGAAAAAAAGUAUUUAUUAUUAAUAGACAUGCAACAUUGAUGCAACUUUUAUUAUUACAACUUAAUUUAUUCAUUUAUUAAAGCAUGCGUACAACUUUAAAACAAAACAAACUUUAUUUUUGACUGGAAGCAUUUGCGGAGCUCUCAGCAGCUCGAUCUUCAAACCUUUUUAAACACAACUUUGAACGGAACAUCACUCAAAGCCAGACGCCGCACCCCACCAUUAAUAAAAAUGCCAACAUCUCUGCACAAACCUCUGCAGAAAUUACAAACCGAAGGACAGUAGACAAGCUUGUAAUCACCAAAAAAACUUCUCAAUCUUAAACCAAUUUCUCAUGGUUCUGGGGCCGGGAUUGCCUUCACCUCCCCCAGUUGUCACAAGCCACUGCCCUAAUACCGCAUCAAAAUUGUCAAGCUUCCAAACUGUUGACUACGCACAACUUGUUGCAGCGUCAAAUUUGAUGUUUAAGUCAGUGGACUCACGAACAACGCCUUUUUUAGGGUUAAGGGCGAAAAUGUUACAGGCAAACCAUUUUUAAGUGAGUGCUGCUCUUGAACAACAUCUAGGGGACAUGUCUAAUUUUUGCUUCUGCCAGCAAGUGUAAGCUCGCCACCUCGGCCCUUUCCAACGGGCAAGAUGUAGUACUUACUGCCAGCUCGGAGCUGCUUGCCGGCGAUGUCCAGCACCGGAUCAGGUGAAGCAUUGCCCCUGACGGGCAAUGGCGUUGCAAUGAAGGCAAAGAGAAGAAUCAGCGAGGGUAAGACUACUUCUCAUUGUUAUAUUGUUAUAUUUUUUGUUCUUAUCUUUUGUUGUUGCGUGUAAAUAACCCUUAUGAGGCCAAAUUUAUAGAGUCAGGCUAGUAUAGUUAAUUGACGGACAGCAAGUUGGUUUGAUUCGCCUAAUGUCCGAUUCCAGAAGCCAAUGGUCGCCCAUAAGACGAGCGGAUUAUCAGAUUCUGC
RNAcentral lists this long non-coding RNA (6557 nucleotides) under Citrus sinensis (sweet orange). Its description in RNAcentral is "long non-coding RNA (CSIN_LNC004753)". Lineage: Eukaryota; Viridiplantae; Streptophyta; Magnoliopsida; Sapindales; Rutaceae. The record is from RNAcentral.